GAGUUUGAUCCUGGCUCAGGAUGAACGCUAGCGACAGGCUUAACACAUGCAAGUCGAGGGGCAGCGGUGGUGAAGGCUUGCCUUUACCAGCCGGCGACCGGCGCACGGGUGAGUAACACGUAUGCAACCUGCCUGCCACAGCCGGAUAAUCGGGAGAAAUUCCGUCUAAUACGGCAUAAUGCAUCGACGGGACAUCCUGUUGGUGCCAAAGGUUGAUUCCGGUGGCGGAUGGGCAUGCGUCGCAUUAGUUAGUUGGCGGUGUAACGGACCACCAAGACGACGAUGCGUAGGGGUUCUGAGAGGAAGGUCCCCCACACUGGUACUGAGACACGGACCAGACUCCUACGGGAGGCAGCAGUGAGGAAUAUUGGUCAAUGGGCGGGAGCCUGAACCAGCCAAGUCGCGUGAGGGAUGACGGCCCUAUGGGUUGUAAACCUCUUUUGCCGGGGAGCAAAGUGCCGCACGUGUGCGGUUUGGAGAGUACCCGGAGAAAAAGCAUCGGCUAACUCCGUGCCAGCAGCCG
Molecule: ribosomal RNA, 523 nt
Filed under: uncultured microorganism
Description: bacterial SSU rRNA
Rfam family: Bacterial small subunit ribosomal RNA
Source: RNAcentral